GAUGAAGAACGCAGCGAAAUGCGAUAAGUAGUGUGAAUUGCAGAAUUCAGUGAAUCAUCGAAUCUUUGAACGCACAUUGCGCCCUUUGGUAAUCCAAAGGGCAUGCCUGUUCGAGCGUCAUUUGUACCCUCAAGCUUUGCUUGGUGUUGGGCGUCUUGUCUCUAGCUUUGCUGGAGACUCGCCUUAAAGUAAUUGGCAGCCGGCCUACUGGUUUCGGAGCGCAGCACAAGUCGCACUCUCUAUCAGCAAAGGUCUAGCAUCCACUAAGCCUUUUUUUCAACUUUUGACCUCGGAUCAGGUAGGGAUACCCGCUGAACUUAAGCAUAUCAAUAAGCGGAGGA
This 341-nucleotide unclassified non-coding RNA is filed under the name soil metagenome. RNAcentral's name for it is "partial contains 5.8S ribosomal RNA, internal transcribed spacer 2, and large subunit ribosomal RNA". The stretch from base 1 to 120 matches the Rfam family "5.8S ribosomal RNA", at positions 35 to 154 of the family's 154-position model. The record is from RNAcentral.